GACGAACGCUGGCGGCGUGCUUAACACAUGCAAGUCGAACGGAAAGGCCCUGCUAUUGUGGGGUGCUCGAGUGGCGAACGGGUGAGUAACACGUGAGUAACCUGCCCUUGACUUUGGGAUAACUUCAGGAAACUGGGGCUAAUACCGGAUAGGAGCUCCUGCUGCAUGGUGGGGGUUGGAAAGUUUCGGCGGUUGGGGAUGGACUCGCGGCUUAUCAGCUUGUUGGUGGGGUAGUGGCUUACCAAGGCUUUGACGGGUAGCCGGCCUGAGAGGGUGACCGGCCACAUUGGGACUGAGAUACGGCCCAGACUCCUACGGGAGGCAGCAGUGGGGAAUAUUGCACAAUGGGCGGAAGCCUGAUGCAGCAACGCUGCGUGCGGGAUGACGGCCUUCGGGUUGUAAACCGCUUUCGCCUGUGACGAAGCGUGAGUGACGGUAAUGGGUAAAGAAGCACCGGCUAACUACGUG
RNAcentral lists this ribosomal RNA (468 nucleotides) under uncultured bacterium. Its description in RNAcentral is "partial 16S ribosomal RNA". It matches the Rfam family "Bacterial small subunit ribosomal RNA", at positions 28 to 507 of the family's 1533-position model. The record is from RNAcentral.